AUACGGAGGAUCCGAGCGUUAUCCGGAUUUAUUGGGUUUAAAGGGUGCGCAGGCGGCCAUUUAAGUCAGCGGUUAAAUCGUGGGGCUCAACCCCAUUCUGCCGUUGAUACUGGGUGGCUUGAUUGCGGUCGAGGUUGGCGGAAUUCGUUGUGUAGCGGUGAAAUGCAUAGAUAUGACGAAGAACACCGAUGGCGUAGGCAGCUGACCAGACCGCAAAUGACGCUCAUGCACGAAAGUGCGGGGAUCGAACAGGAUUAGAUACCCUGGUAGUCCGCACAGUAAACGAUGAAUACUUGUUUUCGGCGAUAUAAUGUCGGAGGCAAAGCGAAAGCGAUAAGUAUUCCACCUGGGGAGUACGCCGGCAACGGUGAAACUCAAAGGAAUUGACGGGG
This 392-nucleotide ribosomal RNA is filed under the name uncultured bacterium. RNAcentral's name for it is "partial 16S ribosomal RNA". It matches the Rfam family "Bacterial small subunit ribosomal RNA", at positions 523 to 918 of the family's 1533-position model. The record is from RNAcentral.